This 716-nucleotide long non-coding RNA is filed under the name Takifugu rubripes (torafugu). RNAcentral describes it as "lncRNA (ENSTRUG00000029234.1)". The record is from RNAcentral. Lineage: Eukaryota; Metazoa; Chordata; Actinopteri; Tetraodontiformes; Tetraodontidae.
AUCAAAUACGGCCUCUGAAGAUAAACUUUUAACUCUUAUUUCUCUGUCUGAAUCUAUUCACGCCGCACUUUUUCAUCGGUGCUUAUUUACAUUUUUUUCCAGCACGGGCAAAGCGAAGUUCACAUGACAGCACCACUUUAUCAGACUUUGGGUCCGUAACCGAGACAAACGGCUUGGAUCUGGGAGUCGUGAUUAAUGCGGCAUUUAGAUGGUACCAAGACCCCACCAGUGCAACACCGGAGCUAAGCAGGGGAAAUUACCUUUGAAGGGGCCAAGGGUUGCCGACUGAAACCGAAAAGAACCCUGGGUCGGGACAUCUGGCUGGGUUUACCUCGAGGCUGAAGGCUGGACCCUGGGGGCACAGAUGGGGCAGACCAAAGGAGACAAACGGCUCGGACCAAAGGAGCAGACCAAAUGAAGGUUUGAGGAACAGGCGGUACCAGGAGUGGACAUGAGGCAGGAUUUGUCCUCCUGUCUUAUCACUGUUAGCUUUCUUAAAGUGAUGCCUCCUCUGCUUAUUUUUUCCUGCUGCAGUUAAAAAGUGAAGGGUUAGCACACGAUUCAGAUGACGCCAGUAAACUGGAGAAUUAUGUUCCUAGCAGAUCAAACUGGCCAGCAUCACUGAGGCCGUUGUGGAGGAGGAGAGGCCCAGGCCAGAGGGGGACCGGUGCAACAAGAGGUGACUGAAGGACACAGUGUGGGGUCACGCUGCGGCU